RNAcentral lists this ribosomal RNA (609 nucleotides) under Halomonas sp. NH35-1. RNAcentral's name for it is "bacterial SSU rRNA". It matches the Rfam family "Bacterial small subunit ribosomal RNA", at positions 96 to 701 of the family's 1533-position model. The record is from RNAcentral. Lineage: Bacteria; Pseudomonadati; Pseudomonadota; Gammaproteobacteria; Oceanospirillales; Halomonadaceae.
CGGCGGACGGGUGAGUAAUGCAUAGGAAUCUGCCCGGUAGUGGGGGAUAACCUGGGGAAACCCAGGCUAAUACCGCAUACGUCCUACGGGAGAAAGCAGGGGAUCUUCGGACCUUGCGCUAUCGGAUGAGCCUAUGUCGGAUUAGCUUGUUGGUGAGGUAAUGGCUCACCAAGGCGACGAUCCGUAGCUGGUCUGAGAGGAUGAUCAGCCACAUCGGGACUGAGACACGGCCCGAACUCCUACGGGAGGCAGCAGUGGGGAAUAUUGGACAAUGGGCGAAAGCCUGAUCCAGCCAUGCCGCGUGUGUGAAGAAGGCUUUCGGGUUGUAAAGCACUUUCAGUGAGGAAGAAGGCCUUGGGGCCAAUACCCCCGAGGAAGGACAUCACUCACAGAAGAAGCACCGGCUAACUCCGUGCCAGCAGCCGCGGUAAUACGGAGGGUGCGAGCGUUAAUCGGAAUUACUGGGCGUAAAGCGCGCGUAGGCGGCGUGAUAAGCCGGUUGUGAAAGCCCCGGGCUCAACCUGGGAACGGCAUCCGGAACUGUCAGGCUAGAGUGCAGGAGAGGAAGGUAGAAUUCCCGGUGUAGCGGUGAAAUGCGUAGAGAUCGGG